RNAcentral lists this ribosomal RNA (506 nucleotides) under uncultured bacterium. RNAcentral's name for it is "partial 16S ribosomal RNA". It matches the Rfam family "Bacterial small subunit ribosomal RNA", at positions 29 to 523 of the family's 1533-position model. The record is from RNAcentral.
AGUGAACGCUGGCGGUAGGCCUAACACAUGCAAGUCGAACGGCAGCACAGGAGAGCUUGCUCUCUGGGUGGCGAGUGGCGGACGGGUGAGGAAUACAUCGGAAUCUACUCUGUCGUGGGGGAUAACGUAGGGAAACUUACGCUAAUACCGCAUACGACCUACGAGUGAAAGCAGGGGACCUUCGGGCCUUGCGCGAUUGAAUGAGCCGAUGUCGGAUUAGCUAGUUGGCGGGGUAAAUGCCCACCAAGGCGACGAUCCGUAGCUGGUCUGAGAGGAGGAUCAGCCACACUGGAACUGAGACCAGGUCCAGACUCCUACGGGAGGCAGCAGUGGGGAAUAUUGGACAAUGGGCGCAAGCCUGAUCCAGCCAUACCGCGUGGGUGAAGAAGGCCUUCGGGUUGUAAAGCCCUUUUGUUGGGAAAGAAAUCCAGCUGGCUAAUACCCGGUUGGGAUGACGGUACCCAAAGAAUAAACACCGGCUAACUUCGUGCCAGCCGCCGCGGUAA